This 2057-nucleotide ribosomal RNA is filed under the name Acholeplasma laidlawii. RNAcentral's name for it is "partial 23S ribosomal RNA". It matches the Rfam family "Bacterial large subunit ribosomal RNA", at positions 841 to 2925 of the family's 2925-position model. Lineage: Bacteria; Bacillati; Mycoplasmatota; Mollicutes; Acholeplasmatales; Acholeplasmataceae. The record is from RNAcentral.
AGAGAUAGCUGGUUCUCCCCGAAAUAUCUUUAGGGAUAGCGUCAACAAAAUAGGUUUAUCGAAGGUAGAGCACUGAAUGUGUGAUGGCCCCACCUCGGGGUACUGAUCUCAAUCAAACUCCGAAUGUCGGUAAAGUAAGUUGGCAGUCAGACUACGGGUGAUAAGGUUCGUGGUCAAAAGGGAAAGAGCCCAGACCGCCAGAUAAGGUCCCAAAAUAUAUGCUAAGUGGAAAAGGAAGUAGAGAUGCACAAACAGCCAGGAGGUUGGCUUAGAAGCAGCCAUCCUUUAAAGAGUGCGUAAAAGCUCACUGGUCGAGUGACUCUGCGCCGAAAAUGUACCGGGGCUAAGCAUAUUACCGAAGCUGCGGAUUUAAAAAGAUUUUUUAAGUGGUAGGGGAGCGUUCCUAACAGCGGUGAAGCUAGAUCGUGAGGACUAGUGGAGCGUUAGGAAGUGAGAAUGCCGGUGUAAGUAACGAAAAGACAGGUGAGAAUCCUGUCCGUCAUAAACCCAAGGUUUCCAGGGGAAGGUUCGUCCGCCCUGGGUAAGUCGGGGCCUAAGGUGAGGCUGAAGAGCGUAGCCGAUGGAUAACUAGUAGAGAUUCUAGUACCAGUGUAGUGACUGAUGGAGUGACAAAGAAGGAUAGGCGUCCACCCUUAAUGGAUUGGGUGAGAAGGAUUCGAGGCUAGUACUUAGGCAAAUCCGGGUACUGUUAAAGCUGAGAACUGAUAUAAAGACGUACGAGUUCAUGCUUUCAAGAAAAGCUUCUAAGGUUAAUCAUUAUACUGCCCGUACCGUAAACCGACACAGGUGGGUGAGUAGAAUAUAUUAAGACGCGCGAGAAAACUGUUGUUAAGGAACUCGGCAAAUUGACCCCGUAACUUCGGGAAAAGGGGGACUCCUUAUGAAAACGAGGAGUCGCAGAGAAAAGGCCCAAGCGACUGUUUAGUAAAAACACAGGUCUCUGCAAAACCGUAAGGUGAAGUAUAGAGGCUGACGCUUGCCCGGUGCUGGAAGAUUAAGAGGAGAUGUCAGGGUUAAACCGAAGCAUUGAAUUGAAGUCCCAGUAAACGGCGGCCGUAACUAUAACGGUCCUAAGGUAGCGAAAUUCCUUGGCGGGUAAGUUCCGUCCUGCACGAAAAGCGUAACGAUUUGGGCACUGUCUCAACAACAGACUCGGUGAAAUCAAGCUGCCGGUGAAAACGCCGGCUACCCGCGAUUAGACGAAAAGACCCCAUGGAGCUUCACUGUAACUUGAUAUUGAAACUGGGUGUAAGAUGUACAGGAUAGGUGGGAGGCUAUGAAGAUAGUACGCUAGUAUUGUCGGAGCCAACGUUGGGAUACCACCCUUCGUGCACUUAGUUUCUAACUUCUAGAUGUGUAAUCUAAAGGACAGUGUCUGGUGGGCAGUUUGACUGGGGCGGUCGCCUCCCAAAGAGUAACGGAGGCGCUCGAAGGUUACCUCAGAAUGGUUGGAAAUCAUUCUAUAGAGUGCAAUGGCAGAAGGUAGCUUGACUGCGAGACCAACAAGUCGAGCAGGGACGAAAGUCGGACAUAGUGAUCUUACGGUACCGAAUGGAAGGGCCGUGACUCAACGGAUAAAAGUUACCCUGGGGAUAACAGGCUUAUCGCUUCCAAGCGUUCACAGCGACGAAGCGGUUUGGCACCUCGAUGUCGGCUCGUCGCAUCCUGGAGCUGGAGUAGGUUCCAAGGGUUGGGCUGUUCGCCCAUUAAAGCGGCACGCGAGCUGGGUUCAGAACGUCGUGAGACAGUUCGGUCUCUAUCUAUCGUGGGCGUUGGAAAUUUGAAGGGAGCUGUUCCUAGUAUGAGAAGACCGGAAUGGACGCACCCCUGGUGCACCAGUUAGUACGCCAGUACUACAGCUGGGUAGCUAUGUGCGGAAGGGAUAAACGCUGAAAGCAUCUAAGCGUGAAGCCCCCCUUAAGAUGAGAUUUCCCAAUUAGUAAGACCCCUCAAAGACUAUGAGGUUGAUAGGCCAGGUGUGUAAGUACAGCGAUGUAUUCAGCUUACUGGUACUAAUAGGUCGAGGACUUAACCUU